CGCGGCCUAUCAGCUUGUUGGUGGGGUGAUGGCCUACCAAGGCGACGACGGGUAGCCGGCCUGAGAGGGUGACCGGCCACACUGGGACUGAGACACGGCCCAGACUCCUACGGGAGGCAGCAGUGGGGAAUAUUGCACAAUGGGCGGAAGCCUGAUGCAGCGACGCCGCGUGGGGGAUGACGGCCUUCGGGUUGUAAACCCCUUUCGCCCGGGACGAAGCGAGAGUGACGGUACCGGGAGAAGAAGCACCGGCCAACUACGUGCCAGCAGCCGCGGUAAUACGUAGGGUGCAAGCGUUGUCCGGAAUUAUUGGGCGUAAAGAGCUCGUAGGCGGUGUGUCGCGUCUGCCGUGAAAACCUGCGGCUUAACCGUGGGCGUGCGGUGGAUACGGGCACACUUGAGUUCGGUAGGGGAGACUGGAAUUCCUGGUGUAGCGGUGGAAUGCGCAGAUAUCAGGAGGAACACCAGUGGCGAAGGCGGGUCUCUGGGCCGAAACUGACGCUGAGGAGCGAAAGCGUGGGGAGCGAACAGGAUUAGAUACCCUGGUAGUCCACGCCGUAAACGGUGGGCGCUAGGUGUGGGAUGCUGUUCACGUGUCCCGUGCCGUAGCUAACGCAUUAAGCGCCCCGCCUGGGGAGUACGG
This 643-nucleotide ribosomal RNA is filed under the name uncultured bacterium. RNAcentral's name for it is "bacterial SSU rRNA". It matches the Rfam family "Bacterial small subunit ribosomal RNA", at positions 232 to 885 of the family's 1533-position model. The record is from RNAcentral.